Molecule: long non-coding RNA, 4131 nt
Organism: Dermochelys coriacea (leatherback sea turtle)
Lineage: Eukaryota; Metazoa; Chordata; Testudines; Dermochelyidae
Exons: 2
Source: RefSeq, a predicted model, not a curated record
GUUUGGGCUGUAGCCUGAGCCCAUAAGUUUACACUGCAUUGAAAUAGCCCUGCGAGCCUGAGUCAGCUGGCACAGGUCAGCCACAGGUGUCCAGUUGCUGUGUAGACAUACCCUUUGGGUUCAGCCAUUUUAAUUAAUAAAUUUAGUCUUUUAUCCAUCACCCUGUUUCUAGAUAGGUGAAGUGUAUAUGCUUGUGUACAAGAGUUCAGUGACUGAACCUUUAUUAUUAAGGUUAAGAUUCUGUAAUGGGGAUUUUUAGUAAAAGUCAGGGACAGUUAGCGGGUGAUAAACAAAAAUUCACAGAAGCUCAUGACCUCUCCCUAAUGCGGGGGGGAGGAGGGGACUUACAGUUGGAGCGCUGUUGGGCGCUGAGCUUCUGCAGCUGCACCAGCCCCACCGCUGCUCCUGUGGCAGGGGCUGACCCAACCCUGUCCACCGCUUCACCUGGGGCUGACUGCUGGCCAUUGCUAUGGCGGCCCCUGCUCCGGUGGCUCCAGGGCUGGCUGUCAGCCGUUGCUAUUGCAGCCCUUGCUCCAGUGGCCCAGGGCUGACUGCUGGCUGCUGCUCUGGUGGCUUUGAGGGCUGCUGCCCUCGUGGCCCUGGGGCUGACCUCUGGUGGCCCUGGGGCUGACAGCUGCUCCAGCCCUGCCCCUUCGGAAGAAGUCGCAGAGGUCCCAGAAUCUGUGACCUCUAUGACAGAAUUAUACCCUUAUUUAUUAUACAAAGUAGCGGGUUAUCAUAUCCCAUUUUAAAAGUCUGAUCUUUUUAUUAAAACAUUGUUUUAAAUAUAUUUUGCAUUCAGGUGACACAAGAACCUAUUUAAGUAAAAUGAUAAAACUCUUGACUGGAGAAAAUCGCAGGGAGACUGCCUGUUGUGUAGGGCUCAUGGAUCCUGAGAAUCGUAGCAAAUCUUGUCUCUUUGAUUAUUUGUUUAAAGGAGACUUGCUCAGCUUCUGAACAGUUAUUUCAGAAGAAAUUAAAUCAUUGUUGAUCUUCCAUUAAAUUGUUAUACUUCCCAACUCUCCUUCUCCAGACCAGUAAUAACACCCAAAACUCAAAAAGCAUCUGCUGCAAGUAGAGUUUUUGUUUUGUAUGUCCUCUCUAUAUUUCCAGUUACUUUGCUUUAACUGUGCUAGGGCUUAUUUAUUUUUGUCCUCUCUAAUGGAUGGUCCCUGUUAUCGGUAUAUCAAAACUAACUUGCUGGCUAUACGAUUUAUGAUCUUUAUAUAGUUUAAUCUUCUUACUUGGUGACAAUCCCUUGGUGCUAGUCCUUUCUAUAUGUACCUUCACCUUGAUUAAUGACCAUGAAGAACUUCACAAAUUUACCAAAUCCCAUGAAAUUGGGAUACAGGGAACACAUUCUUAAUGAAUUAGUGCUCUUUUAGUUGCUGUAAUCACUUAAUUUAGUUUAACUCACUUUGUAAUAAUACUGAAUACUCCUGAACUUAAUCUGUAUUGAUACUUCCUUUUUUCAGUUUCUCAGCACAUCACUUUGUCUUCCCUGUUGAUCACAGGUUGGAAAAUUUGUUUUUAUGUGCAUAGCCGGAGUAUUUCAUAGCUGUUUUACGAACUUAAUAUUUUGGUUGUUUGACUGAUAUAUGUCUGGCCAUUUAUGUAUUGAAAAUAUAAACCUACAAUCUGCGGAGGUAACUUGAAUUUUAUGUAAAAUAUUCAGUUGUGGACCAUGUCUCCAGCUUUUUGUAUGCUACAGUGGUCUUAUCCCCCCCUCCCCAUUGUCUGUUAGUGAGGUCAUUUUCAGUCCUCUGAGAAAUUUUAUUCCCAGCCAGAUGCAGCCCAUAUAUUAAAAGUAGCACCUGUGACUAAUAUCACAGCAGCUUACCAUAAAUUUACAUGGUAACUAGGAUUAUGUCUGUCAAGACUGUUAAAAAUGUCUAGAUUUAAUUUGAUUUCCAGUAUUGAAGGAGCUCUCUAACAUUUUGCUUCAUAACUAUAUUUUAAAAGUUAAAAUCACUCCAUUGUUAAGUUUUAUAGCACUCCCAUUGCCCAUUAAGUUGAUUUGUUAAAUGGAGGUCAGAGUAAAGCAACUUGGCUACAUUAGGAUCGGAAACCAACCCAUUUGUGACAAAUUUAGUCCUCGUGUGUGAAUCUUCUCAAAGCCUCAGCCCUGAUUGGUUUCAGAUGUAGCUUAUGUCAAUUGUGUUUAACCUCAAAGAAUGAGCAACGUUAGUCCAUUAUUGUCAGUUUUGCUUAUCAAAAGACAAACCAAUUUUCAUUUAUCUGGUGGGUUAACUAUUUUUAAUGUGACUGUUGACUACUUGCCCCUCUGUUAGACUUUUGCAUUAGAUUGCCUCUUGGAUGAAAAGAAUUGGUUUUUCAUAUAGUGUUUCCUAGACUGUUUCAUUUCCCAUUAUUCUUUGAGUCCUCUCCCAUAUGCUAUGAUUUGUACACCUGCAAAAUUAUGAAAGUAUUUCUUUUGGUAGGUAUGUUGUUUGCUAAUGUCCUUGCAUUUAUGAAUACAAUAACUGAUUUGCUAUAAAUCAAAAUUAUUUGACUGGGUUUACAGAGUAGAGAAAAUCUUUGUGUUUGAAAAUAAGGUUUGAAUAUUGAAUUUUUGGCCUAUCUGCCUGUUUGUUGUUUUUCCUUAUUAGAAACUGACAGUAAAAUUUUCAGGCCUCAUGAAGAUUAACUCAGGCCAAAAUUGUGAGAGUGAGCUGGCUCAGCUGGGUCAAAACGUAGUUUAGUAAAAAUAUAUUUUUAUACAGUCACACCUGCCUUAUGGUUAUACUUGUGAAUGGCUUAGUAAAUAAUCCUCUUGCCUUUGAGUCAGAAGGUUAUAGGGUCAAGUUCCAGCUGUGGGACUGGACACAUUCCACCUACCCAUAUCCUAGUGUGGCACUGGGGUCUGAAAAGCUGGGGUGCUUGACUUUUGGAUGAAAAAUAAAUGGAGAGUCUCUGGAGAUCAUUCAUCUGAAAAUUUGAUUCUCCUGCCCUGGCUUUAAAAAGACAAAGAGACCACAAUGGUGUACUAGUCAAUGCAGCCUCUUUCCAAUAAUACUACCAGUUAACUAGCAGAAGUAGUCUUCUUAUUGAUGAGAAAUGCUGCCUAAUUAUACAGAGUCUGGUGUGAUAUCAGUGGUCAGUCAGAAGCUACCAGAUACAAAUUAACUCCUUUUUGCUGGGAGUUGGGAAAUAUUUUGUAUUUAUUUAGUUACUUAUUUGUCAUGGCCACCGGGCAAAACACAGAGUGAAGGAUGUCUCCUGCCUCAGUGUUCAGUCUAAAUUUUUUUUAAUUACCAACAUUUUUUCCUACUUGUAAAUAAUUGAAUCAUUGUAUUACAUUGGCAACUUUUGUCUUUACUUUCACCUCCCCACACACACCCAAAUUUAGUCGUACUGUACCUGUUGGAGCUAUUUCCUUAUCGCAAGGUCUGUGCCCACUUUCAAUGGGCACCAGCAAUGCCAGCCUCAACCAGCCGCUUCUCUGAGAAAUACUUCAAGUUUUCUGUUGUGCUGCCCUAUGUGAGUGGAGAAAGCUUAGUAAGAAUCUACCAAGCCACCUCUUUAUCCUCCACGUCCCUCUUCAAAACUCACCUCUGCUGUAAAGCAUAUAGAAAACUGCAGACGAAGCAGGUGGCGAGCUGUGAUCACGGCUAGUCAAUGGCUAAGAACUAUGCACAACCCACUUAACUCCCUACCCUCCCAUUACGUCUUGUCUUUUAGAUUACAAGCUCUUUGGGGCAUAGACGAUUUGUACAAUGGAGCCCAACCUGUUUGUGGCUGUAGGCACUAAUGCAAUAUUAUUAUUAAUGCCACAGUAUUAAAAUUAACAAUGCUAUCAUAUUAAUUGAUAUUUAAAUGAAUCAUGAUGACAUUAAAAAUUCAGAACAUACCUUGGUGUUUCGCUUUCUUGAGGUAGGAAGAGGUUUUUCUGUUUCUGUUUCUGAGGUAAACAUAAUUUAACAUUUUGUUUUGUAAAUGCACAGUAUCCAUCAGGAGCAGCAGGCCUGACAGCCACAGCUAACAGGUGAUAUGUAGACGUUCAAGACUCUUAUUCUCCAGGUGCUCUAGAAACAGAAGUUGAAAUCAGUUUGUUAUUAGUUAAAACUUAACUGUGACUUAGAAGAUCAAGGAAAUAUGAGUUCUAAGCUCUUUCCUUCCCUCCAUUCUAUG